GCGCACUGUGGCUUAGUGGUUAGAACGUUCGCCUCACACCCCCAUGGCCGGGGAUUCGAUCCACUGUGGCCCUGUGUGUGCG
This is a non-coding RNA of Ameiurus melas (black bullhead), 82 nucleotides long. NCBI's taxonomy places the organism in Eukaryota, Metazoa, Chordata, Actinopteri, Siluriformes, Ictaluridae. The record is from the annotation of a GenBank genome assembly.